RNAcentral lists this ribosomal RNA (253 nucleotides) under uncultured bacterium. RNAcentral's name for it is "partial 16S ribosomal RNA". It matches the Rfam family "Bacterial small subunit ribosomal RNA", at positions 524 to 776 of the family's 1533-position model. The record is from RNAcentral.
UAGAGAGGUCUCAAGCGUUGUUCGGAUUCAUUGGGCGUAAAGGGUGCGUAGGUGGUUGGGUAAGUCAAAUGUGAAAUCCUGGAGCUCAACUCCGGAACUGCAUUCGAUACUGCCCGGCUCGAGGAUUGGAGAGGAGACUGGAGUUCACGGUGUAGCAGUGAAAUGCGUAGAGAUCGUGAGGAACACCCGUGGCGAAGGCGGGUCUCUGGACAAUUCCUGACACUGAGGCACGAAGGCCAGGGGAGCAAACGGG